Long non-coding RNA from Gasterosteus aculeatus aculeatus (three-spined stickleback), 772 nucleotides. The record is from Ensembl. Lineage: Eukaryota; Metazoa; Chordata; Actinopteri; Perciformes; Gasterosteidae.
UGAAGGUGGAGGAGGAUCUAUGUCUCUGUGAUGCAGAGAGCUUACCACAGGAGACACCGAUAGGCACAAACACACAGGAUGUCACCCACGGCCUCCCUUUGUACCCCACGCCAACAGAGGAAGAGUUGACCCCCCCUUCAGUGUCAUCCCAUCCCUUGAACACACAGAGUCGCCCGUCUGAACCCUGCUGGUAUUGCCGGAGGUCUCUUGACUCAGAGUAUCGUCCUGAAACUACUGAACAGGAAGACUCGGGUCCUUUGUCACCGGUGCCCUCUAGUGACCAGAAAGUGAGCUACCAGACAGACCCUCGACCUCACUUUGGCGUGGCUUGUUCCUCCCACUCUACUUGUCACCCUCUGUGGGGCAGCGAGGGACCCUGCUGGGGGCCAAGGAGUCAGGACGUGCUCGACCAGACAGACACCUGCCCUCACUGUCAUUUGGGGUUGCCCCCCGACACACUGCGUUGGCAUGAGGCAAAGUGUCUGCAGUUUGAAGGGACGUGCUGCUGUCCCUGGUGCUAUAUCUCCUGUUUGGACACGUUUCGUAACCCCAGACUGCCCUGCAUUGUGCUCUGCUAGCUCGGCCUCAUCAACCAGAGCCAGGGCUAAAUCUUUCUGUCAGAUGAGCUGCUUACGGCCCUCCGGCACAAACAGCUUAACUCCUUCGGUAGCUGGCUGAGAUAUAAGGGCCUGGGAUACCUUUACAAAUCAUAGAUGACACAGACAAGGAACGUAUUCCACUAGGUGGAGGUGCUAUGAGAUUAGUGUUCAAA